Molecule: ribosomal RNA, 450 nt
Filed under: uncultured bacterium
Lineage: Bacteria
Description: partial 16S ribosomal RNA
Rfam family: Bacterial small subunit ribosomal RNA
Source: RNAcentral
GUGGGGAAUUUUGGACAAUGGGCGCAAGCCUGAUCCAGCAAUGCCGCGUGCAGGAAGAAGGCCUUCGGGUUGUAAACUGCUUUUGUACGGAACGAAACGGUCCUGGUUAAUACCUGGGGCUAAUGACGGUACCGUAAGAAUAAGCACCGGCUAACUACGUGCCAGCAGCCGCGGUAAUACGUAGGGUGCGAGCGUUAAUCGGAAUUACUGGGCGUAAAGCGUGCACAGGCGGUGCUGUAAGACAGGCGUGAAAUCCCCGGGCUCAACCUGGGAAUUGCGCUUGUGACUGCAGUGCUGGAGUACGGCAGAGGGGGAUGGAAUUCCGCGUGUAGCAGUGAAAUGCGUAGAUAUGCGGAGGAACACCGAUGGCGAAGGCAGUCCCCUGAGCCUGUACUGACGCUCAUGCACGAAAGCGUGGGGAGCAAACAGGAUUAGAAACCCGAGUAGUCC